GUGAGGAAUAUUGCGCAAUGGAGGCAACUCUGACGCAGCCAUGCCGCGUGCAGGAAGAAGGCGCUACGCGUUGUAAACUGCUUUUAACCGGGAAGAAACCCCAGGACGUGUCCUGGGUUGACGGUUCCGGAGGAAUAAGCACCGGCUAACUUCGUGCCAGCAGCCGCGGUAAUACGAAGGGUGCAAGCGUUAUCCGGAUUCCUUGGGUUUAAAGGGUGCGUAGGCGGAGCGUUAAGUCAGUGGUGAAAUCCUGCAGCUUAACUGUAGGCUUGCCAUUGAUACUGGCGCGCUUGAGUGCGCUUGAAGUGGGCGGAAUGUGCCGUGUAGCGGUGAAAUGCUUAGAUAUGGCACAGAACACCAAUUGCGAAGGCAGCUCACUAAGGCGAUACUGACGCUGAGGCACGAAAGCGUGGGGAGCGAACAGGAUUAGAAACCCUGGUAGUCC
RNAcentral lists this ribosomal RNA (445 nucleotides) under uncultured bacterium. RNAcentral describes it as "partial 16S ribosomal RNA". It matches the Rfam family "Bacterial small subunit ribosomal RNA", at positions 354 to 796 of the family's 1533-position model. The record is from RNAcentral.